GUGCUCACCUCAGCAGCACAUACACUAAAACUGGAAUGACACAGAGAAGAUUAGCAUGGCCCCUGCACAAAGAUGAAAUGCAAAUUGGUGAAUCGUUCCAUAUUUUU
Molecule: small nuclear RNA, 107 nt
Organism: Mesocricetus auratus (golden hamster)
Lineage: Eukaryota; Metazoa; Chordata; Mammalia; Rodentia; Cricetidae
Source: Ensembl